ACACCUCAACUCUCAUGGCUUGCCGUGAAGAGCUUGGACUUUGGGGGUCUUGCUGGCCUACGGUCGGCUCCUCUCAAAUGAAUCAGCUUACCAGUGUUUGGUGGCAUCACAGGUGUGAUAAAACUAUCUACGCUUGUGGUUUUCCACCAAGUUAACCCCCAGCGAUGGAGGUUAGCUGCUCUGGGGCUCAUAAAUGUCUCUCCUCGGUGAGGACAGCUCUUUGAAC
Molecule: unclassified non-coding RNA, 226 nt
Filed under: uncultured Tomentella
Lineage: Eukaryota; Fungi; Basidiomycota; Agaricomycetes; Thelephorales; Thelephoraceae
Description: sequence contains ITS2
Source: RNAcentral